GGAGUUAGCCGGUGCUUCUUCUGUGAGUGAUGUCCUUCCUGCCGGCUAUUAACCCGCAGGCCUUCUUCCUCACUGAAAGUGCUUUACAACCCGAAGGCCUUCUUCACACACGCGGCAUGGCUGGAUCAGGGUUGCCCCCAUUGUCCAAUAUUCCCCACUGCUGCCUCCCGUAGGAGUCUGGGCCGUGUCUCAGUCCCAGUGUGGCUGAUCAUCCUCUCAGACCAGCUACGGAUCGUCGCCUUGGUGAGCCGUUACCUCACCAACCAGCUAAUCCGACAUAGGCUCAUCCGAUAGCGCGAGGCCCGAAGGUCCCCCGCUUUCCCCCGUAUGGCGUAUGCGGUAUUAGCCUGGGUUUCCCCAGGUUAUCCCCCACUACCGGGCAGAUUCCUAUGCAUUACUCACCCGUCCGCCGCUCGCCACCAGGGAGCAAGCUCCCCGUGCUGCCGCUCGACUUGCAUGUGUUAGGCCUGCCGCCAGCGUUCAAUCUGAGCCAUAAUCAAACUCUGA
RNAcentral lists this ribosomal RNA (507 nucleotides) under uncultured bacterium. RNAcentral describes it as "partial 16S ribosomal RNA". The record is from RNAcentral.